This 218-nucleotide long non-coding RNA is filed under the name Gorilla gorilla gorilla (western lowland gorilla). RNAcentral's name for it is "lncRNA (ENSGGOG00000044286.1)". The record is from RNAcentral. Lineage: Eukaryota; Metazoa; Chordata; Mammalia; Primates; Hominidae.
GCAUGAGUCAUAUCAGAAAAUAUGAGAAAUCAACAUCCUGAAAUAACUUGAAUUGAGAUUUGUUUAAUGGUAGGAUGGAGCAGUAUCUCACAAAGUGAAAGCUUUUUAUUAACACUGAAGAAAAUACAACCAUCAUCAGGUCUUUCAUUGAAGCCAUUAAAUUUCUGCCAAAUUCCAGGAAGACCUGGAAUAUGACAGUUCAUUAGAGAGUACCCUGG